AACGAACGCUGGCGGCAUGCCUAACACAUGCAAGUCGAACGAGACCUUCGGGUCUAGUGGCGCACGGGUGCGUAACGCGUGGGAACCUGCCCUUAGGUUCGGAAUAACUCCCCGAAAGGGGUGCUAAUACCGGAUAAUGUCUUCGGACCAAAGAUUUAUCGCCUUUGGAUGGGCCCGCGUUGGAUUAGCUAGUUGGUAGGGUAAAAGCCUACCAAGGCGACGAUCCAUAGCUGGUCUGAGAGGAUGAUCAGCCACACUGGGACUGAGACACGGCCCAGACUCCUACGGGAGGGCGGAGUGGGGAAUAUUGGACAAUGGGCGAAAGCCUGAUCCAGCAAUGCCGCGUGAGUGAUGAAGGGCUUAGGGUUGUAAAGCUCUUUUACCCGGGAUGAUAAUGACAGUACCGGGAGAAUAAGCUCCGGCUAACUCCGUG
Molecule: ribosomal RNA, 433 nt
Filed under: uncultured bacterium
Lineage: Bacteria
Description: partial 16S ribosomal RNA
Rfam family: Bacterial small subunit ribosomal RNA
Source: RNAcentral